Molecule: transfer RNA, 75 nt
Filed under: Candidatus Woesearchaeota archaeon
Lineage: Archaea; Nanobdellati; Candidatus Woesearchaeota
Description: tRNA-Val
Rfam family: tRNA
About the family: Transfer RNA (tRNA) molecules are approximately 80 nucleotides in length. Their secondary structure includes four short double-helical elements and three loops (D, anti-codon, and T loops).
Source: RNAcentral
GGGUCCGUGGUCUAGAAUGGCUAUGACACAUCCUUGACGUGGAUGAGAUCGCAGGUUCAAGUCCUGCCGGACCCA